Molecule: long non-coding RNA, 881 nt
Organism: Mytilus californianus (California mussel)
Lineage: Eukaryota; Metazoa; Mollusca; Bivalvia; Mytilida; Mytilidae
Exons: 2
Source: RefSeq, a predicted model, not a curated record
UCAAUAAACUUUUCCAUCUUUAGAGAAUAAUUAUUCCCAGCACAUGAAUUACUUUCUUAUGACAUACUGGAUUUGUGUAUAACAGUUGUUUUUUCCAUAUUUUCACCAGCUUUGAUGCAAUUUACAAUUAAAAAUGACCAUUCAAGCUGUCGGCCAUUUUCAUUCUCUUCAAUAUAAAGACAGGCACCUGUCCAUGGCUACAGUUUAUAAAAUUGUCCAUCUUUAAAGAACAAAUGUACCAAUCACCAUUGAUCACAGGAAUUACUUUCCCAAGACAUACAGGUUUUGUGUAUAUAAAUUGUUUUUUUCAUUAUUUCCACCACUUUGAUGACAUUUACAAGUUUAUAUACAUGUAUAUUUACAUUCAGUAUCUGACAGCAUUUUUAUUUUAACAGGAUCCUGCAUGUUAUAAAAGAACAAAGAUGUUGAUCAAAUUUACCUAACAGUGCAGCAUACAAGAGAUGUAAUAUCAUACAUGUGCUGAAUGUAGGACUCCCUAGCCUUUCUGAUUGAAAAAAAGAUUCCCUGGCAGACAGGAACAACUAUUAGUGAUGACUUUUUUCAAAUGUUACUGCACAGUCAUGUAGUGGACCGAUUACAUGUACUACUAUCAAUGUGAUACUAAAAAAUGGUUUUGUAAGAGAGAAAAUGACAUGUGCUUAUCCUGACUGUGAAAACAACACAUUAUUGUAGUUCAAUUAUCAUAGUUCAUAUGCCAAACUUGAUGUACAUGUGUAUGCGAUUUUUGUGCAAGUGAUGGUGACAUCAUUGAACUAAGAAUAAAUACAAGACUCCGCAUUCAAUCUAUUGAAUUUGAAACAGAAGUGGCAGUUGUGCAGAGACUAUACGGAUAAAAAUGCAAAUAAAUAUCUUGUGUUCAA